UUUUUUUUCCACCGCUUGGAAGUUGUUAGUGUGUCUUAGACUUCAAGGAAGGGGUUGUUCUUUGUUUUUAAAACAGUGUCUGCUUGUUUACCGGGUUGAGUAAUUGUCUCUAAACUUUACGUGUCUACUUUGGUAAAUUUGGAAAGAGAUUAUUGAUCUGUUCUAAUCAAACAGCAAACAUGAAAAAGGAAAUCGUUUGGGGAGGGUGUCUUGGGAGUUGUAGUUUGGUGGGACAGAAAUGCAAGUACAUUAGAGAAGAUUCCAGGAAGGGAAGAAAAAGUGGGAGUUUAUUGUGGACCAUUUAACAUUGAGAAAGAACAGAAAGCCUGGAUGACCUGCAGGAAGGAGCCAGGCUGGUGACACAUGCCUGUAAUCCCAGUACUCAGGAGGCUAAAGCAAAGCAGGAAAGGUCACCUGGAGUUCUUGUGGAGACUGGCUUGGAAAUCAUGUAUCCAAACCCCAGAAGAUGUAUAGAAGAUAAAGGAAAGGUCUUACGUCCUUUGUAUCAACAUGGCCAGUAACCUUUUGGUGUGCAUCUUGAACCUUUGGAUACAGUGUAAGUUUUCCAAUUGCAAUCAUUCCAAAGACCUAUUAGUCUAAGGGUGGCAGUAACCACAAUUCCCGUUUCCAAGUUAGACCUUCUGUACAGUUCUAGCCUGUAGGACACCCUUUAUAGCCUCCUAACUCUGGUUUCAAAGGUCGUUUUAAUGUUGCUUCUAUUGUCAUUAAAGAAGAUACUUGAUGCUUGUAUCCAUUACAAACUAAACAUAUGGUGACAAUAAAUUUAACCAAUUUCAUGAUUUCAUCAUUCUGUGUAACGCUUUCAAGGUGAAAGGUUUUCAAGGGGACCAUACAAGGCAGCAAAGCCUAAAUAUCUUCUGAGGGUGUGGUGAAGUGUGUAAUUCCUAUCCCGGUGAUAGCAAAGACCAACCUCAUACAAAAAGUAGCACUAUAAGAUCCUCUGUGCACAGGCACGCGCACACACACACACACACACGUACCCUUUCAAAACCAUCUCCAGAAAAAUGGACCUCUGUUUGAAAGUUUUAAGAGUUAAUCGAAACCAUAGACGUCUGUCCUUAAAUCCCAGUUAACUCUUCCUGUACACUGUAUACAGCGGAUCAUCCAGAAAUAGUGGGUAGAAUGGAAUUUGAGCUGGGUCUCAGAGGUCAGGCACAAGUGUGGUAGGAAAUGGUAUAUGCUACAGAAGCACCGUUUGUGUUUUGUGUGAUAAACUGCUAAUAGUUUACCCCUGGGAUUCCUAAGUGGGGAAUUCCUUGGACUGACUGUAUGCUUGGUAAACCUUGAUAUUUAACAUAUAGCAUUGAGGUAUAAAAGAAUAUGAACUUGUGACUUUCUGGGGAGGGUAAUCUCCACCAGGUUUAAUGAUUUCUGGGUAUGGGUGUUUUGCCUGUGUGUAUAUCUGUGUACCACAAGGGUACUGUGCUCUCCGGGGCCAGAGGAGGGUUUCAGAUCCUCUGGAACUAGAGAUACAGGGGGUAGAGAGCCAACAUAUGGGUGGAGGAAUGGAAUUUAGGUUCUUAACCCUUGAACCAUCUUUCCUGCCUAAGGAGGUCAUUUUCAAUUAUAAAGUCAUCUCUACUGUAAACAUCUCCAAAGAACCAGUUUUUGCCCUGCUUUUCCAUGUUAGCUAUUUUAAUAAGACUUUCAAUUUUAUCUUUUAACAUAAAUAUAUUCCAGUCACUUCCUCGAAGCAACAUGUUUACAUCAUUGAAUAUUUCAAAAACUAUCUGACAAGUAACAGUUUUGAGUGCCAUAAAUCAUUAUUUAAAAAAAAAAAACAAAAAACCCAAAAUCAAAACUAACCAAAUCGGGUUUCUGUUCCACCAAGAUCUUUCGCAACCUUCCAACUUGAGUGUCCUGCGAGCCACCUCUGCAUGCUGAGGGGCUCUGUAAGCUGAGUCUGUUUGCCGGGGUAGGGAAACAGAGCGAAGAGAAUGGCUUUUUGAUGAACAGUCCUGCCAAACACAACUGCCUUGAGACUUUCUGGCCACGGGUGCCUCCUGAUGGAUCACUGAGUGAAAGGACAUUUGUUUCUGCAAACUUUGAAUUCUGUCACAGGCCAACAUCCUCUCGUACAAUUUCUGCAUCAACAUCUAUGCAGAAUCUUAAGGAGACCUUUUAGCUGUGAGUCUCCAUUUGUUAAAAAAAAACAAAACAAAAUCCACUGAUGUUAAGGUUAAUAUCUUCCCAGCUUGUGUUCCCUCCCCACUGGGCAACAAAGCAGUUUUUCAGAUAUGCUUCCUUCCUUCCUAUACACAUAUCUCAAAGCAACAACGGUACUGCAAUAGGAAUACUAGUUGUGGCAUCUCCAUGAAUUACUUCCCUUAAACCUGCUGAGAAAGUGAUGGGACUGGUCGCAUUAGUUCUGGAGAUUCUGUCGGAGGGAGCGCCCUUUAAUAAAGAAACCUGAAGAAUUCC
RNAcentral lists this long non-coding RNA (2442 nucleotides) under Mus musculus (house mouse). Its description in RNAcentral is "long non-coding RNA chr10:94148648-94151090". Lineage: Eukaryota; Metazoa; Chordata; Mammalia; Rodentia; Muridae. The record is from RNAcentral.